RNAcentral lists this ribosomal RNA (366 nucleotides) under Chorebus sp. 3 HX-2019. RNAcentral describes it as "partial large subunit ribosomal RNA". The record is from RNAcentral. Lineage: Eukaryota; Metazoa; Arthropoda; Insecta; Hymenoptera; Braconidae.
GGCUGCAGAAAUUUUAACUGUACAAAGGUAGCAUAAUAAUUUGUUUUUUAAUUAAAAACUAGAAUGAAAGAUUAAAUGAAAUAUAAACUGUUUCAAUUAAAAUAAUAUUAAAAUUUUUAUUUAAGUUAAAAAACUUAAAUAUAUUUAAAAGACGACAAGACCCUAUAGAAUUUUAUUUAUAUUUUAAAUAAAAAUAUUUAUUUAUUUAAUUAAAUUUUUAUAAUAAAUUUAAUUGGGGUAAUUUAAAAAUUAAAAAAAUUUUUUUUAUAAAAAACAUUAAUUUAUGAAUAUUAUAUCUUAAAUUUUAAAUUAUUAAAAUUAAUUACCUUAGGGAUAACAGCAUAAUUUUUUUUAAAAGACCUUAUU